AAAACCUCUCAGGGCGGGGUGAAAUUCCCCACCGGCGGUAAGCAACGGCGCGCAGGCGUUGAUGUAAGCCCGCGAGCGCCACGGGCACCUUCACAGGCACCCUGGGACAGCAGACCCGGUGUGAAUCCGGGGCCGACGGUAUAGUCCGGAUGAAAGAGAGUUGGA
RNAcentral lists this non-coding RNA (165 nucleotides) under Celeribacter baekdonensis. RNAcentral describes it as "FMN sequence". It matches the Rfam family "FMN riboswitch aptamer (RFN element)". Rfam says of the family: The RFN element is a highly conserved domain that is found frequently in the 5'-untranslated regions of prokaryotic mRNAs that encode for flavin mononucleotide (FMN) biosynthesis and transport proteins. Lineage: Bacteria; Pseudomonadati; Pseudomonadota; Alphaproteobacteria; Rhodobacterales; Roseobacteraceae. RNAcentral also lists the same sequence under 1 other name. The record is from RNAcentral.